This 457-nucleotide ribosomal RNA is filed under the name uncultured Anaerolineaceae bacterium. RNAcentral describes it as "bacterial SSU rRNA". It matches the Rfam family "Bacterial small subunit ribosomal RNA", at positions 910 to 1382 of the family's 1533-position model. Lineage: Bacteria; Bacillati; Chloroflexota; Anaerolineae; Anaerolineales; Anaerolineaceae. The record is from RNAcentral.
UUGACGGGGACCCGCACAAGCAGCGGAGCGUGUGGUUUAAUUCGUUGCUACACGAAGAACCUUACCUGGGUUUGACAUAUAGGUUGUAGGGAACUGAAAGGGACCGACCCUUCGGGGAGCCUAUACAGGUGUUGCAUGGCUGUCGUCAGCUCGUGUCGUGAGAUGUUCGGUUAAGUCCGCUAACGAGCGCAACCCUCGUCGUAUGUUAUAUGUGUCAUACGAGACUGCCGGUAAAAGCCGGAGGAAGGUGAGGAUGAUGUCAAGUCAGCAUGACCUUUAUAUCCAGGGCUACACACACGCUACAAUGGUCUGUACAAUGGGUAGCCAAGCCGCGAGGCGGAGCCAAUCCUGAAAGCAGGCCUCAGUUCAGAUUGCAGUCUGCAACUCGACUGCAUGAAGCCGGAGUUGCUAGUAACCGCAGGUCAGCAAUACUGCGGUGAAUACGUUCCCGGGUCUU